Molecule: ribosomal RNA, 433 nt
Filed under: uncultured bacterium
Lineage: Bacteria
Description: partial 16S ribosomal RNA
Rfam family: Bacterial small subunit ribosomal RNA
Source: RNAcentral
AGCGAACGCUGGCGGCAGGCCUAACACAUGCAAGUCGAACGAACUCUUCGGAGUUAGUGGCGGACGGGUGAGUAACACGUGGGAACGUGCCUUUUGGUUCGGAAUAACUCAGGGAAACUUGUGCUAAUACCGAAUGUGCCCUUCGGGGGAAAGAUUUAUCGCCAUUAGAGCGGCCCGCGUCUGAUUAGCUAGUUGGUGAGGUAACGGCUCACCAAGGCGACGAUCAGUAGCUGGUCUGAGAGGAUGACCAGCCACACUGGGACUGAGACACGGCCCAGACUCCUACGGGAGGCAGCAGUGGCGAAUCUUGCGCAAUGGGCGAAAGCCUGACGCAGCCAUGCCGCGUGAAUGAUGAAGGUCCUAGGAUUGUAAAAUUCUUUCACCGGGGACGAUAAUGACGGUACCCGGAGAAGAAGCCCCGGCUAACUUCGUG